Chenopodium quinoa (quinoa) is the source of this 431-nucleotide long non-coding RNA. RefSeq lists it as uncharacterized. The transcript has 3 exons. The record is from RefSeq and is a predicted model, not a curated record. Lineage: Eukaryota; Viridiplantae; Streptophyta; Magnoliopsida; Caryophyllales; Amaranthaceae.
UCUACUACUCAUUCACAAAGAAAAACAAAAACCCUAGAGGCCUAGACACUUACUCCAUCUAGCCGCUACUGUACGCACUCAACCCUCCUUCAAAAUUUUCUCAAAUCUCUUUUCUAUUAUUGAAGAAGGAAGUAGAGAUCAAGAUCGACAAUUUUGACAAAGAACAAGCUUUUAAUAUAUGGCAGAAUAACUUUGGAGAUGAAGAACCAAAAGAAAUCAUUCUUCCAAUUUCCUAAUACUGAGGAUAUAGGUGAAGAUUGCAGGAAGAAUUUGCAACAAAGACAAAGUGAAGAAAAGAAUGAUUCCUUGUAUUCAUUUUCUUUGGUUAUGUGAUAAAUUUGAUGAUGAUUGUAGUACUUUGUUUGAUGUUCUAAUUGUUUGUAGUGUAAGAAUUUGAAUUUGUUAAUACAUUUUUUCUGUUAGAUUUUAUA